AAAAAAAAAGGCCUGCCCCGAAGAAAAACUAUUUUACCAGAGCUAAAACUAGUUGCUAUUGUUGCAGAGCCCAGUUGACCUGGAGAAGGUAAAUACCCUACUCCAGCUAGCUCUAGCAUGUCACGUGCAGAAAAAAAAUAUCCAACUCUGGUUCACUCCAGCCAGGCUGUUCCAGGGAAAGGGGAUGGGAGUGGAAAUUGAGAAGUACUGUGAAGUUCAUAAUCUAAAGAUAUAGGGUGAUUAAAAAACUGAGACUCUUCCUACUGCCAUACCUGACCACCACAUUACUAAAGGCCUGUUUACUGCAGCUUCUUUGACCCAGGACAUUAUGUCAUGCUGCCAAGAAAAAAUUACAAGGCAUACUAACAGUCAAGAAACACAGUUUGAAGAGAGAGAGAAAACAUCAGAAACAGACUCAGAUAUUGCAGAUGUGUUGGGACUAUGAAACAGGAAAUUCGAAACAACUAUGUUUACUGUGCCACAAACUUUAAAGAAUAAGGUAGAAAGCAUGCAAGAACAAAUAAGAAAUGUGAGCAGAGAGGUGGAAAUCCUAAGAAAAAAAUCAAAAGGAAAUGUUUUCAAUCAAAAACACAGCAACAGAAAUGAAUACUGCUUUUGAUGUACUCCUUAGUAGACUGGAUAUGGCUGAGAAAAGAAUAACUAAACUUAAGGAUACCUCAAUAAAAACCUAGAGGAAAAUUACUGAAGAAAAAAACAAAGAAUGGAAUAUCUAAGAACUGUGGGAAAACUAUAAAGGGCAUAAUAUAUGCAAAAUGGAAGAUGAGAAAGAAAAGAAGAGAAAAAAAUAUUUGAAGCAAUAAUGACUGAGAACUUUCCCAAAUUAAUUUCAGACACCAGGCCAUGGACCCAGAAAGCUCAGAAAACACCAAACAGGAUAAAUGCAAAAAUAACAGAGGGUUAAACAUAAGAAUUACAUUCAUCUCCUCCUCAGAAAUCAUUCAGGUAAGAAGAAACUGGAGUGAAAUAGUUCUGAGAGAAAAAAAUUAAAAACUACCACCCUAGAAAUAUGUACUCUGCAUAAUUAUCUUUCAAAAGUAGAAGAGAAAUAAAUACUUUCUGAACCAAACAGCAAUGGAAAGAAUUUGUUAAUAGACCUGCCUUGCAAGAAAUGCUAAAGAAGUUCUUCAGAGAAAGAAAAAUGCUGUAAAUAAGCAACUCAGUCUGUAUAUAAAAGAAAGAUCAUCAGAGAAAUAAAAAGUGAAGGUGGCAAGAAAGAAAAUCUGGAUACAAGACACACUGUUGAACACUACCAGCCCAGGGCCCAAGUGGCAUAAUUGUUUGGGAUUCAUGUGAAAUAUUCAGCAGAUAACUAA
RNAcentral lists this long non-coding RNA (1334 nucleotides) under Homo sapiens (human). RNAcentral's name for it is "HSALNT0092088". Lineage: Eukaryota; Metazoa; Chordata; Mammalia; Primates; Hominidae. The record is from RNAcentral.